GACGAACGCUGGCGGCGUGCUUAACACAUGCAAGUCGAGCGAGAAGACGUAGCAAUACGUUUGUAAAGCGGCGAACGGGUGAGGAAUACAUGGGUAACCUACCCUCGAGUGGGGAAUAACUAGCCGAAAGGUUAGCUAAUACCGCGUACGCUCCUUGGACUUCGGUUCAGGGAGGAAAGCGAUACCGUGGGUAUCGCGCUCUUGGUUGGGCUCAUGUCCUAUCAGCUUGUUGGGAGGUAACGGCUCACCAAGGCUUCGACGGGUAGCUGGUCUGAGAGGACGAUCAGCCACACUGGCACUGCGACACGGGCCAGACUCCUACGGGAGGCAGCAGUAAGGAAUAUUGCGCAAUGGGCGAAAGCCUGACGCAGCGACGCCGCGUGGGGGAUGAAGGUCUUCGGAUUGUAAACCCCUUUCGGGAGGGAAGAUGGAACGAGCAAUCGUUCGGACGGUACCUCCAGAAGCAGCCACGGCUAACUUCGUGCCAGCAGCCG
Molecule: ribosomal RNA, 494 nt
Filed under: uncultured bacterium
Lineage: Bacteria
Description: bacterial SSU rRNA
Rfam family: Bacterial small subunit ribosomal RNA
Source: RNAcentral